Molecule: ribosomal RNA, 301 nt
Filed under: uncultured bacterium
Lineage: Bacteria
Description: partial 16S ribosomal RNA
Rfam family: Bacterial small subunit ribosomal RNA
Source: RNAcentral
CAGCCGCCGCGGUAAUACGUAGGGUGCGAGCGUUAAUCGGAAUUACUGGGCGUAAAGCGUGCGCAGGCGGUUGUGUAAGACAGGUGUGAAAUCCCCGGGCUUAACCUGGGAACUGCGCUUGUGACUGCACAGCUAGAGUAUGGCAGAGGGGGGUGGAAUUCCACGUGUAGCAGUGAAAUGCGUAGAGAUGUGGAGGAACACCGAUGGCGAAGGCAGCCCCCUGGGCCAAUACUGACGCUCAUGCACGAAAGCGUGGGGAGCAAACAGGAUUAGAUACCCGAGUAGUCCCUGUCUCUUAUAA